AUAUCAAUAAGCGGAGGAAAAGAAACCAACAGGGAUUGCCCUAGUAACGGCGAGUGAAGCGGCAACAGCUCAAAUUUGAAAUCUGGCCUCGGCCCGAGUUGUAAUUUGCAGAGGAAGCUUUGGGUGCGGUACCGACUGAGUCCCCUGGAACGGGGCGCCACAGAGGGUGAGAGCCCCGUAUAGUCGGACGCCAAACCUGUGUAAAGCUCCUUCGACGAGUCGAGUAGUUUGGGAAUGCUGCUCAAAAUGGGAGGUAAAUUUCUUCUAAAGCUAAAUAUUGGCGAGAGACCGAUAGCGAACAAGUACCGUGAGGGAAAGAUGAAAAGAACUUUGGAAAGAGAGUUAAACAGUACGUGAAAUUGCUGAAAGGGAAACGCUUGAAGUCAGUCGCGUUGGCCGGAAAUCAGCCUUGGUUCUCCUUGGUGUAUUUUCUGGUUGACGGGCCAGCAUCAGUUUUGACCGGUGGAAAAAGUUGUAGGGAAUGUGGCAUCUUCGGAUGUGUUAUAGCCUUGCUUCGUAUACAUCGGUUGGGACUGAGGAACUCAGCACGCCGCAAGGCCGGGGUUCGCCCACGUUCGUGCUUAGGAUGCUGGCAUAAUGGCUUUAAUCGA
This 611-nucleotide ribosomal RNA is filed under the name uncultured fungus. RNAcentral describes it as "eukaryotic LSU rRNA". It matches the Rfam family "Eukaryotic large subunit ribosomal RNA", at positions 40 to 647 of the family's 3401-position model. The record is from RNAcentral. Lineage: Eukaryota; Fungi.